RNAcentral lists this ribosomal RNA (449 nucleotides) under uncultured bacterium. Its description in RNAcentral is "partial 16S ribosomal RNA". It matches the Rfam family "Bacterial small subunit ribosomal RNA", at positions 330 to 793 of the family's 1533-position model. The record is from RNAcentral.
CCCAGACUCCUACGGGAGGCAGCAGUGGGGGAUAUUGCACAAUGGGGGGAACCCUGAUGCAGCGACGCCGCGUGGGUGAAGGAGCGUUUCGGCGCGUAAAGCCCUAUCGGCAGGGAAGAAGGAGGACGGUACCUGACUAAGAAGCCCCGGCUAACUACGUGCCAGCAGCCGCGGUAAUACGUAGGGGGCAAGCGUUAUCCGGAUUUACUGGGUGUAAAGGGGGCGCAGACGGCAGCGCAAGCCAGGAGUGAAAGCCCGGGGCCCAACCCCGGGACUGCUCUUGGAACUGCGCGGCUGGAGUGCAGGAGGGGCAGGCGGAAUUCCUGGUGUAGCGGUGAAAUGCGUAGAUAUCAGGAGGAACACCGGUGGCGAAGGCGGCCUGCUGGACUGCGACUGACGUUGAGGCCCGAAAGCGUGGGGAGCAAACAGGAUUAGAUACCCUAGUACAG